RNAcentral lists this ribosomal RNA (440 nucleotides) under uncultured bacterium. Its description in RNAcentral is "partial 16S ribosomal RNA". It matches the Rfam family "Bacterial small subunit ribosomal RNA", at positions 339 to 795 of the family's 1533-position model. The record is from RNAcentral.
CUACGGGGCGCACCAGUGAGGAAUACUGCACAAUGGGGGGAACCCUGAUGCAGCAACGCCGCGUGGAGGAUGACGCAUUUCGGUGUGUAAACUCCUUUUAUAUGUCAAGAAAAUGACGGUAGCAUAUGAAUAAGCACCGGCUAACUCCGUGCCAGCAGCCGCGGUAAUACGGAGGGGUGCAAGCGUUACUCGGAAUCACUGGGCGUAAAGGACGCGUAGGCGGGUUGGAAAGUCAGGUGUGAAAUCCUACAGCUUAACUGUAGAACUGCACUUGAAACUUCUAAUCUAGAGUAUGGGAGGGGGAGAUGGAAUUAGUGGUGUAGGGGUAAAAUCCGUAGAUAUCACUAGGAAUACCUAAAGCGAAGGCGAUCUCCUGGAACAUUACUGACGCUAAGGCGUGAAAGCGUGGGGAGCAAACAGGAUUAGAUACCCUGGUAGUC